Molecule: long non-coding RNA, 1346 nt
Organism: Lolium rigidum
Lineage: Eukaryota; Viridiplantae; Streptophyta; Magnoliopsida; Poales; Poaceae
Exons: 6
Source: RefSeq, a predicted model, not a curated record
UCCGCGGCCGCCCCGGCAGCGCCUCCGGCGACGGCCUCCAGGACCCGCUCGUGCGCGUGAGCAGCCUCGGGGACGCCUUCCUGGACGACCGCGACGACGACGCAGCAAAACUUGCAGCGGGCGGAGACCUGGAUGAGGAUUUGGGGAACGGCGACGACGAACUCAGGCGAGAGGGAUUAAAGUUCUAGAGAUAUAGAUAGAAAUGUUGCUCAAGAUGCUCGAAGGAAUUCAUAACAAUCAAGUUCACAAGGAUUCAACUCCAGCAGAUACUGUCGAUCCCGAGGGUGCAGAGGUGCUUUGAGCUCCGCCUCUCGACCGCCACAUCCUAAAGUUCAGUUACGCGUGUGUAAUUAUGGUUCAGUUCCAUGCACCAAUCAUGGAUACCUCUACCAAGUCGUUCUCGCCGUUUGGUAUGGAGGUCUUUCUCCUCGACAUGAAACUCGCAUCUGAAUCUGUCCCCAUGGAUUUGGGAGCCCCGACCUAAUUUACCAUGUUCGCAUCCAGAAUAAGAUUGUAUAGGGAUCUGUCGAUGUCGAACUAUUCUUAGAGGCUGCACUUGGUUUAUAUUAUGGGAAAGUAAACAAACCUGACAGGCUAAAGGUGAUCAUUGUAUUGCUUACUGCUUAGGGACAUGUUACAGUUACACAAUCAAACAUGAAUUGGAUUUAUUGUGUUCUCAGCUACUCAACUUACCUCUAAUUCGGAACAUACAUUCUGUAGGCUCUUUUACUUCUUGCAUGCUCCAUUGAGGCAGAUCCAAGCACAAUUAUUCUGUGGGUGUUUUAUCUUCAUAUUUACUAUCAAAAGGAUGAAGGACUUGGAACAUUUUCAGUGAACUGCAGGAGGGUGGGUGGAGGGCGGAGGGCGCGCUCACCGGUGCUCUGGCAUCAUGCUCGACGAGGAAGAGGGCUUGGCGUCGGGGACGUGAAUCUGGUUGUGGCGUCGGAUGCAUGGCGCGGCUGGCGCAACUUCCUCUGGCCGCACGACGAGGCAUCUGGCCGCGCAGCGAGGCAGGGCCCAAACUCCAUGACAACUUUCUUCCUCGGCGGCAGAUGAACCCUGUUGUUCAUGAUGAGGAGAUCAACCCUGUUGUGUAUUUUAUCUAAUGGUUUCAAACCAUGUUGUUCAUGAUGUGGAGAUGAACCCUGUUGGUCAUGUAAGUUAGAUGCCUGGAUUGUGAAUCCUUGAAUGUUUCCCUGUUGGUCAUGUAAGUUAGAUGCCUGGAUUGUGAAUCCUUGAAUGUUUCCCUGUUGGUUAUGUAAGUUAGAUGCCUGGAUUGUGAAUCCUUGAAUGUUUCAAAAUGUUGGUUUCAAACAUAGAUUGCUUGGAAAUAUUGGUUUUAAACA